GUGUCAGCCGCCGCGGUAAUACGUAGGGUGCAAGCGUUAAUCGGAAUUACUGGGCGUAAAGCGUGCGCAGGCGGUUGUGUAAGACAGGUGUGAAAUCCCCGGGCUUAACCUGGGAAUUGCAUUUGUGACUGCACGACUAGAGUGUGUCAGAGGGGGGUGGAAUUCCACGUGUAGCAGUGAAAUGCGUAGAUAUGUGGAGGAACACCAAUGGCGAAGGCAGCCCCCUGGGAUAACACUGACGCUCAUGCACGAAAGCGUGGGGAGCAAACAGGAUUAGAUACCCUAGUAGUCC
RNAcentral lists this ribosomal RNA (292 nucleotides) under uncultured bacterium. RNAcentral's name for it is "partial 16S ribosomal RNA". It matches the Rfam family "Bacterial small subunit ribosomal RNA", at positions 505 to 796 of the family's 1533-position model. The record is from RNAcentral.